GGUGACUGCGUACCUUUUGUAUAAUGGGUCAGCGACUUAUAUUCUGUAGCAAGGUUAACCGUAUAGGGGAGCCGCAGGGAAACCGAGUCUUAACUGGGCGUUAAGUUGCAGGGUAUAGACCCGAAACCCGGUGAUCUAGCCAUGGGCAGGUUGAAGGUUGGGUAACACUAACUGGAGGACCGAACCGACUAAUGUUGAAAAAUUAGCGGAUGACUUGUGGCUGGGGGUGAAAGGCCAAUCAAACCGGGAGAUAGCUGGUUCUCCCCGAAAGCUAUUUAGGUAGCGCCUCGUGAAUUCAUCUUCGGGGGUAGAGCACUGUUUCGGCUAGGGGGUCAUCCCGACUUACCAACCCGAUGCAAACUACGAAUACCGAAGAAUGUUAUCACGGGAGACACACGGCGGGUGCUAACGUCCGUCGUGAAGAGGGAAACAACCCAGACCGCCAGCUAAGGUCCCAAAGUCAUGGUUAAGUGGGAAACGAUGUGGGAAGGCCCAGACAGCCAGGAUGUUGGCUUAGAAGCAGCCAUCAUUUAAAGAAAGCGUAAUAGCUCACUGGUCGAGUCGGCCUGCGCGGAAGAUGUAACGGGGCUAAACCAUGCACCGAAGCUGCGGCAGCGACACUAUGUGUUGUUGGGUAGGGGAGCGUUCUGUAAGCCGUUGAAGGUGGCCUGUGAGGGUUGCUGGAGGUAUCAGAAGUGCGAAUGCUGACAUAAGUAACGAUAAUGCGGGUGAAAAACCCGCACGCCGGAAGACCAAGGGUUCCUGUCCAACGUUAAUCGGGGCAGGGUGAGUCGACCCCUAAGGCGAGGCCGAAAGGCGUAGUCGAUGGGAAACAGGUUAAUAUUCCUGUACUCGGUGUUACUGCGAAGGGGGGACGGAGAAGGCUAUGUUGGCCGGGCGACGGUUGUCCCGGUUUAAGCAUGUAGGCGGAUGUUCCAGGUAAAUCCGGAACGUCACUAACGCUGAGGUGUGAUGACGAGGCACUACGGUGCUGAAGUGACAAAUGCCCUGCUUCCAGGAAAAGCCUCUAAGCAUCAGGUAACAUCAAAUCGUACCCCAAACCGACACAGGUGGUCAGGUAGAGAAUACCAAGGCGCUUGAGAGAACUCGGGUGAAGGAACUAGGCAAAAUGGUGCCGUAACUUCGGGAGAAGGCACGCUGAUGGUAGGUGAAGCGACUUGCUCGUGGAGCUGAAAUCAGUCGAAGAUACCAGCUGGCUGCAACUGUUUAUUAAAAACACAGCACUGUGCAAACACGAAAGUGGACGUAUACGGUGUGACGCCUGCCCGGUGCCGGAAGGUUAAUUGAUGGGGUUAUCCGUAAGGAGAAGCUCUUGAUCGAAGCCCCGGUAAACGGCGGCCGUAACUAUAACGGUCCUAAGGUAGCGAAAUUCCUUGUCGGGUAAGUUCCGACCUGCACGAAUGGCGUAAUGAUGGCCAGGCUGUCUCCACCCGAGACUCAGUGAAAUUGAACUCGCUGUGAAGAUGCAGUGUACCCGCGGCAAGACGGAAAGACCCCGUGAACCUUUACUAUAGCUUGACACUGAACACUGGUCCUUGAUGUGUAGGAUAGGUGGGAGGCUUUGAAGUGUGGACGCCAGUCUGCAUGGAGCCAUCCUUGAAAUACCACCCUUUAAUGGCUGGUGUUCUAACGUGGGCCCCUAAUCGGGGUUGCGGACAGUGUCUGGUGGGUAGUUUGACUGGGGCGGUCUCCUCCUAAAGAGUAACGGAGGAGCACGAAGGUCAGCUAAUCCUGGUCGGACAUCAGGAGGUUAGUGCAAUGGCAUAAGCUGGCUUGACUGCGAGCGUGACGGCGCGAGCAGGUGCGAAAGCAGGUCAUAGUGAUCCGGUGGUUCUGAAUGGAAGGGCCAUCGCUCAACGGAUAAAAGGUACUCCGGGGAUAACAGGCUGAUACCGCCCAAGAGUUCAUAUCGACGGCGGGGUUUGGCACCUCGAUGUCGGCUCAUCACAUCCUGGGGCUGAAGUAGGUCCCAAGGGUAUGGCUGUUCGCCAUUUAAAGUGGUACGCGAGCUGGGUUUAGAACGUCGUGAGACAGUUCGGUCCCUAUCUGCCGUGGGCGCUGGAGAAUUGAGGGGGGCUGCUCCUAGUACGAGAGGACCGGAGUGGACGCAUCACUGGUGUUCGGGUUGUCAUGCCAAUGGCAUUGCCCGGUAGCUAAAUGCGGAAGAGAUAAGUGCUGAAAGCAUCUAAGCACGAAACUUGCCCCGAGAUGAGUUCUCCCUGACUCCUUGA
RNAcentral lists this ribosomal RNA (2252 nucleotides) under human gut metagenome. RNAcentral's name for it is "bacterial LSU rRNA". It matches the Rfam family "Bacterial large subunit ribosomal RNA", at positions 592 to 2826 of the family's 2925-position model. The record is from RNAcentral.